AUAAAUAAAUAAGCUCAUAAUUUGCCUUCAAUACGUAUAACAUAAGCAAUGCGUUGUAAAAUAUAUAUACAUAUAUAUAUAUGCAUAUAUAUACACAUAUGUGUAUACAUAUAUGUCAUACGAACAUCAGUAAACCACGGAUGUAAAAUUAAAGAGAAAAUUGAAAAAUAAGUCAAAAUAAAAAAUCAAGUUAAUAUUAAAGAAGAAAAGAGACAUCGAGAAAAGAAGCAAGCUUAUAUGUACUAGAAAACUCUGAAGUGUGUUUAACAGAAUAAAAUAUCAAGAGGAUAGAAAUAUACACGUCCAGGAGAGUCGAGCACAUAAUUCAAGGAACCAUUUAAGGGGAAUAUUAAUGACUACGACGAGUAUAUUCUAUUCCUGGCAAUCUGCUGUAAGUAAUUUUUCAUUUUCUUGAUUAGCGGCGAGUAAUAAUUAUAAUAGAAAAA
Long non-coding RNA from Vespula vulgaris, 446 nucleotides. RefSeq lists it as uncharacterized. The record is from RefSeq and is a predicted model, not a curated record. The transcript is spliced from 2 exons. NCBI's taxonomy places the organism in Eukaryota, Metazoa, Arthropoda, Insecta, Hymenoptera, Vespidae.